CAGUACCUAAAGCUGGGGAUGACUCAACGAUCAGCCCUGGUGUCAAGAAACUCCUCCUUCCUACAGAUGCUGUACCAGAAUGACUUACACCUGACUCCCACGCUCCACCUCACCGGCAAGAACUGGAUAGAAAUCCCAGUGCCUGAAGACAUUGGCCAUGCCCUGGUACAAAUUCGGACCACAGGGCCCGGAGGGGAUGGGAUCCCUGCAGAAGUCCACAUCGUGAGGAAUGGAGGCACAAGCAUGAUGGUGGAGAACAUGGCAGUCCGCCCAGCACCACACCCUGGCAUCAUCGUUUCCCACUCCGUGGCGAUGCUGAUCCUCAUAGGCUCCCUGGAGCUCUGAUCCUGGAACCCCUCCCUCUGCGCCGCAGCUGGACGCCACUGCCGAUGGACACAGCCAGCCGGCCCCUUCCUGCUGCCAAGGUGGCCUGACACUGUGCCAGAGAGUGGCUGGUUUUAAAUACCUACUUUAAACAGUGCCCUUUUUGUAGGAGGUAGGAUAUUUUAUAUUCUGCCGCAGGAUAGAACCCACGCAAGGAUUUUCUUUAAAUCGAGAGGCACCAGGCAGUAACUUCCAUGAUGACACUGACACCUAUACCUGAGCUCUAGGCUGCCUGGAGGAAA
Molecule: small RNA, 626 nt
Filed under: Pongo abelii (Sumatran orangutan)
Lineage: Eukaryota; Metazoa; Chordata; Mammalia; Primates; Hominidae
Description: retained intron
Source: RNAcentral